RNAcentral lists this long non-coding RNA (304 nucleotides) under Struthio camelus australis. Its description in RNAcentral is "lncRNA (ENSSCUG00000000641.1)". The record is from RNAcentral. Lineage: Eukaryota; Metazoa; Chordata; Aves; Struthioniformes; Struthionidae.
AUCAUUUCCUUCCCUAGCAAUGUUCUCAUAGCUACUUGUUUUCUUUUCUAAUUACUAGACGCAACUAGAGUAAUUCCACUUCUUUCUACAGGUUCUGCAGUUUGGCAGUGGAAUCUGAUUGGGACCAAAUUUGACUGUGAUGAUCCAUCCAGAAAACUAUGCGUUUGCUUUGGGAAGUUGGCUGUUGACUUCAGUGAAAUUUUCCCUGGACUCAUGAAGUUAUCGAGUUUCUGAAUAACAAUAGUAAGUUCUUUGUCAUUCUUGUUCUCCCCAGCUAUCAAAGUUCUAGAUAUUUCAGGCAUGA